This 488-nucleotide small RNA is filed under the name Pongo abelii (Sumatran orangutan). RNAcentral describes it as "processed transcript". The record is from RNAcentral. Lineage: Eukaryota; Metazoa; Chordata; Mammalia; Primates; Hominidae.
GUGUGAAUCAAAAGAAAAAACUUUUUUCAAGUUAAUACAUGGUUCAGGAAAAGAAGAAACAAGCAAAGAAGCCAAAAUCAGAGCUAAGGAAAAAAGAAAUAGACUAAGUCUUCUUGUGCAGAAACCUGAGUUUCAUGAAGACACCCGCUCCAGUAGAUCUGGGCACUUGGCCAGAGAAACAAGAGUCUCCCCUGAAGAGGCAGUGAAAUGGGGUGAAUCAUUUGACAAACUGCUUUCCCAUAGAGGUUAGUGGUACUUUCACCAAAUACUUUAUUGCUUAAUGGAAAAUUACACAAACUAUGCAUGUAAUUAUCCGAAACAAUAGGUCACAAAAUUUUUGUCUGAUUGUUAAUUUUCAGUAAUUCAAUUUUCUGAUCAACAGAACUAAAUAAUAGAAAAGUCAAAUAAUGGAAAUUUUUUUUAAAGUUCUCAUUUUGUUUAGAAUUACCUACUGUGGAUGAAAUAUUAGUUAUUUACACUGUAGCUAG